GAUGAAGAACGUAGCGAAAUGCGAUAAGUAGUGUGAAUUGCAGAAUUCAGUGAAUCAUCGAAUCUUUGAACGCACAUUGCGCCCCUUGGUAUUCCAUGGGGCAUGCCUGUUCGAGCGUCAUUUGUACCCUCAAGCUUUGCUUGGUGUUGGGUGUUUGUCUCGCCUCUGCGUGUAGACUCGCCUCAAAACAAUUGGCAGCCGGCGUAUUGGUUUCGGAGCGCAGUACAUCUCGCGCUUUGCACUCAUAACGACGACGUCCAAAAGUACAUUUUUACACUCUUGACCUCGGAUCAGGUAGGGAUACCCGCUGAACUUAAGCAUAUCAAUAAGCGGAGGA
RNAcentral lists this unclassified non-coding RNA (337 nucleotides) under soil metagenome. Its description in RNAcentral is "partial contains 5.8S ribosomal RNA, internal transcribed spacer 2, and large subunit ribosomal RNA". The stretch from base 1 to 120 matches the Rfam family "5.8S ribosomal RNA", at positions 35 to 154 of the family's 154-position model. The record is from RNAcentral.